This 226-nucleotide ribosomal RNA is filed under the name uncultured bacterium. RNAcentral describes it as "partial 16S ribosomal RNA". It matches the Rfam family "Bacterial small subunit ribosomal RNA", at positions 124 to 334 of the family's 1533-position model. The record is from RNAcentral.
CCUAGCCCUUCAGAGGGGGACAACAGUUGGAAACGACUGCUAAUACCGCAUACGAUCUAAUCUCGGCAUCGAGGAAAGAUGAAAGGUGGCCUCUAUUUAUAAGCUAUCACUGAAGGAGGGGAUUGCGUCUGAUUAGCUAGUUGGAGGGGUAACGGCCCACCAAGGCGAUGAUCAGUAGCCGGUCUGAGAGGAUGAACGGCCACAUUGGGACUGAGACACGGCCCAG